This is a non-coding RNA of Pelobates cultripes (western spadefoot toad), 102 nucleotides long. The record is from the annotation of a GenBank genome assembly. Lineage: Eukaryota; Metazoa; Chordata; Amphibia; Anura; Pelobatidae.
UGUUUGUAUAGUGUGUGUAUAUAAUGCAGUGUGUUUGUGUAGUGUGCAUUAUAUAAACACACUACACAAACACACUGCAUUAUAUACACACACUACAUUAAA